UAAUUAUUCUUGCACAACUUCUUUGAUUUCUAUAUAUAGUACUCUCAUCUUUUAAGAAACACUAUUUUUUAUAAUCAUCACAAACUGCACACUUAACGUUACUAACUUAUCCUAACAAUGUUCAGCAGCCAAUAGGGCAUUGCAAAGAGAACUUGAGUAGUCAAAUUGCAUCACAUAUUAAAGAAAUAGCAAGCUCAAAAAUGCAGAUCACCAUAAAAUAAACAGCAUAAUACAUAAUAAACCCAGAAGGCCAGAACUGCCAAAACAUUAAAAUAGUCCAAUAAAGACAGCAAGUCAGUCAUUAUUUCUAACAAACAUUAAAAUAGUCCAAUAAACAUUAAAACAUUAAAACUCCAAUAGUGGCAAGCAAUAACUAAUCUCCGAACACUCCAAUGAUCCAAUAUUUCUAUUGUAAAAGAAAUGUUCAAACUUUUCAAGCAUGUCAGUCAGAAACCUUUUCAUAGUGGUAGCAUUCUAUUUCUAUAGCUCACAAAGUUUAAUAUUACAGAAGAGG
RNAcentral lists this long non-coding RNA (514 nucleotides) under Phoenix dactylifera (date palm). Its description in RNAcentral is "long non-coding RNA (PDAC_LNC022434)". The record is from RNAcentral. Lineage: Eukaryota; Viridiplantae; Streptophyta; Magnoliopsida; Arecales; Arecaceae.